RNAcentral lists this ribosomal RNA (253 nucleotides) under uncultured bacterium. Its description in RNAcentral is "partial 16S ribosomal RNA". It matches the Rfam family "Bacterial small subunit ribosomal RNA", at positions 524 to 776 of the family's 1533-position model. The record is from RNAcentral.
UACAUAGGGGGCAAGCGUUGUCCGGAAUUAUUGGGCGUAAAGGGCGCGCAGGUGGUUCCUUAAGUCUGAUGUGAAAGCCCACGGCUCAACCGUGGAGGGCCAUUGGAAACUGGGGAACUUGAGGACAGAAGAGGAGAGCGGAAUUCCACGUGUAGCGGUGAAAUGCGUAGAUAUGUGGAGGAACACCAGUGGCGAAGGCGGCUCUCUGGUCUGUAACUGACGCUGAGGCGCGAAAGCGUGGGGAGCAAACAGG